This is a long non-coding RNA of Gasterosteus aculeatus aculeatus (three-spined stickleback), 719 nucleotides long. Lineage: Eukaryota; Metazoa; Chordata; Actinopteri; Perciformes; Gasterosteidae. The record is from Ensembl.
UUCGCAUUCUGAGCACAUCCCUUUAGUUCGCAAACUCCAAACAAUUUCUCAGAUGUACUAUACCCGCAACACUUUCUUUUUAAAACCACCAUUCCACAUUCGUCACGGCUGCUUCACAAUUCAAAAGGGAAAUAGAGAGAGGAUGUGGAGUCCCAAGUGUUAAAGCAAUAUCAACUCUGCAAGAGAAACCAGGAUCACUGGCUGCUACUCCGACACACUUCACCAGCCACCAGCUGCCCCCCCAACGACACCACCAGCUGGACUUUCCCACUGAGCCCUCUUCAACCCCGGAGGCUUUAUUAUCCCUUUUCUAAACCCGUCACUGGCUGUGUUUUAGUGUUAUGUACAAUGCGUUGGCAUUAUUAUUGCUAAUGCAUAAUGCAUAUAUUUGUUUUUGUUGUUAGACCACCGUUGUCACCACUUUAUACAACUUCAUAUUCUGCUUUGUAGUGUAAUCUACAGCGAUGCGUCAUAUUCCAUAAGCGUGUCAUAGGUUUGUAUCAUCACUGUCUUGGGUGAACCAUGUAUUUCGCUGUUCCAGGAUGGUUUCUACUGGAGUGGAAAGGUAUUGAAAAUUGUUAUCUAAAAAGUAAUUGAAGCUGACAGAAGUUUCAUCUCUUUUGCAAGAGAUAAUUACUUUACACUGAUUGCAUUGCCAAUUGUUAGAAAGGUCAUGUGUUAUUCAAACAAAAUAUUAUUAAAUCAUGAUUAUCUUAAAA